Molecule: ribosomal RNA, 433 nt
Filed under: uncultured organism
Also listed under: 1 other name
Description: bacterial SSU rRNA
Rfam family: Bacterial small subunit ribosomal RNA
Source: RNAcentral
AGCGAACGCUGGCGGCAGGCCUAAUACAUGCAAGUCGAGCGGUCCCUUCGGGGGCAGCGGCGGACGGGUGAGUAACGCGUGGGAACGUGCCCUUUGGUACGGAACAACUGAGGGAAACUUCAGCUAAUACCGUAUGUGCCCUUCGGGGGAAAGAUUUAUCGCCAUUGGAGCGGCCCGCGUUAGAUUAGCUAGUUGGUAGGGUAAAGGCCUACCAAGGCGACGAUCUAUAGCUGGUCUGAGAGGAUGAUCAGCCACACUGGGACUGAGACACGGCCCAGACUCCUACGGGAGGCAGCAGUAGGGAAUCUUGCGCAAUGGGCGAAAGCCUGACGCAGCCAUGCCGCGUGAAUGAUGAAGGUCUUAGGAUUGUAAAAUUCUUUCACCGGGGACGAUAAUGACGGUACCCGGAGAAGAAGCCCCGGCUAACUUCGUG